AGUAGAUAGCUUAACCGUCGGGAGGGCGUUUACCACGUUACCACGGUGUGGUUCAUGACUGGGGUGAAGUCGUAACAAGGUAGCCCUAGGGGAACCUGGGGCUGGAUCACCUCCUUACUGA
RNAcentral lists this ribosomal RNA (121 nucleotides) under Salinivibrio kushneri. RNAcentral describes it as "partial 16S ribosomal RNA". It matches the Rfam family "Bacterial small subunit ribosomal RNA", at positions 1425 to 1533 of the family's 1533-position model. Lineage: Bacteria; Pseudomonadati; Pseudomonadota; Gammaproteobacteria; Vibrionales; Vibrionaceae. The record is from RNAcentral.